This 376-nucleotide ribosomal RNA is filed under the name uncultured organism. RNAcentral's name for it is "partial 16S ribosomal RNA". It matches the Rfam family "Bacterial small subunit ribosomal RNA", at positions 527 to 896 of the family's 1533-position model. The record is from RNAcentral.
GUAGGGGGCGAGCGUUGUCCGGAUUUAUUGGGCGUAAAGAGCUCGUAGGCGGCUCAACAAGUCGGCCGUGAAAGCCUGAGGCUCAACCUCAGGACGCCGGUCGAAACUGUUGUGGCUAGGGUUCGGUAGAGGAGAGUGGAAUUCCCGGUGUAGCGGUGAAAUGCGCAGAUAUCGGGAGGAACACCAGUAGCGAAGGCGGCUCUCUGGGCCGACACCGACGCUGAGGAGCGAAAGCUAGGGGAGCAAACAGGGAUUAGAUACCCUGGUAGUCCUAGCCGUAAACGUUGGGUACUAGGUGUGGCGGAUUCAUUGACAUCUGCCGUGCCGAAGCUAACGCAACAAGUACCCCCGCCUGGGGAGUACGGUCGCAAGGCUA